Molecule: ribosomal RNA, 548 nt
Filed under: uncultured prokaryote
Description: bacterial SSU rRNA
Rfam family: Bacterial small subunit ribosomal RNA
Source: RNAcentral
UGGGGAAUUUUGGACAAUGGGCGAAAGCCUGAUCCAGCCAUUCCGCGUGCAGGACGAAGGCCUUCGGGUUGUAAACUGCUUUUGUACGGAACGAAAAGGUUUCAGCUAAUACCUGGGACUCAUGACGGUACCGUAAGAAUAAGCACCGGCUAACUACGUGCCAGCAGCCGCGGUAAUACGUAGGGUGCGAGCGUUAAUCGGAAUUACUGGGCGUAAAGCGUGCGCAGGCGGUCUUGUAAGACAGAUGUGAAAUCCCCGGGCUCAACCUGGGAACUGCAUUUGUGACUGCAAGGCUAGAGUGCGGCAGAGGGGGAUGGAAUUCCGCGUGUAGCAGUGAAAUGCGUAGAUAUGCGGAGGAACACCGAUGGCGAAGGCAAUCCCCUGGGCCUGCACUGACGCUCAUGCACGAAAGCGUGGGGAGCAAACAGGAUUAGAUACCCUGGUAGUCCACGCCCUAAACGAUGUCAACUGGUUGUUGGGUCUUCACUGACUCAGUAACGAAGCUAACGCGUGAAGUUGACCGCCUGGGGAGUACGGCCGCAAGGUUG